RNAcentral lists this long non-coding RNA (259 nucleotides) under Homo sapiens (human). RNAcentral describes it as "non-protein coding LINC00908:8". The record is from RNAcentral. Lineage: Eukaryota; Metazoa; Chordata; Mammalia; Primates; Hominidae.
CACACACGGUGUGUUUGUGAGCUGUGCAGAGUGGGGUCUCCCUGGCAAUGGCCACAGCCUCCAGGGGCGCUGACACCUCCCGUCUAACUGGUAGACAGUUUCUGCCUCUUCUUGUUUGGGGAUUGGAGAGGGAAGUGCGUCUGGAUGACUACUAAGAUGAGGAGGCUGAGGCCUAGUGCUCCUAGCGGGCUUGGUCAAGAGCAGGAGGCGGAGGUGGUGGAAGGCUGUUUCCCUGCGGUGAGUGCUCACACGGUUGGCG